GUGGGCGCUGGUGAAUACCUGCUCCUGCAUCUGGAUCAAAAUGAAGGCUGCGCAAGUGUGUUCGCCCACA
RNAcentral lists this transfer RNA (70 nucleotides) under Boodlea composita. RNAcentral describes it as "tRNA-Gln". Lineage: Eukaryota; Viridiplantae; Chlorophyta; Ulvophyceae; Cladophorales; Boodleaceae. The record is from RNAcentral.